This 91-nucleotide ribosomal RNA is filed under the name Listeria monocytogenes. Lineage: Bacteria; Bacillati; Bacillota; Bacilli; Caryophanales; Listeriaceae. The record is from RNAcentral.
AGCCAGUUCCCAUCCCGAACACGGUAGUUAAGCUUCUCUGCGCCAAUGGUAGUUGGGGGCUUCCCCCUGCGAGAGUAGGUCGCUGCCGGGC